GAUGAACGCUAGCGAUAGGCUUAACACAUGCAAGUCGAGGGGCAGCAUGGUCUUAGCUUGCUAAGACUGAUGGCGACCGGCGCACGGGUGCGUAACGCGUAUGCAACUUGCCUCACAGAGGGGGAUAACCCGUCGAAAGACGGACUAAUACCGCGUACACUUGGGAUAGGGCAUCCUGACCCAAGGAAAUGAAAUUCGCUGUGAGAUAGGCAUGCGUCCCAUUAGCUAGUUGGUGAGGUAACGGCUCACCAAGGCGACGAUGGGUAGGGGAACUGAGAGGAUGAGCCCUGAGAGGGGGACUGGCACACGGACCAGACUGAUACGGGAGGCAGCAGUGAGGAAGAUUGGUCAAUGGGCGAGAGCCUGAACCAGCGAAGUCGCGUGAAGGAAGACUGUCUUAUGGAUUGUAAACUUCUUUUAGAAGGGAAUAACAAGAGCCACGUGUGGCUGCGUGCAGGUACCGGAUGAAUAAGCAUCGGCUAACUCCGUG
RNAcentral lists this ribosomal RNA (490 nucleotides) under uncultured bacterium. RNAcentral describes it as "partial 16S ribosomal RNA". It matches the Rfam family "Bacterial small subunit ribosomal RNA", at positions 28 to 507 of the family's 1533-position model. The record is from RNAcentral.